AUGAGACAAAUGUUUAGCCUGUCCAGAAUGUUCAGCUGGCACCAAUCGUUCACAAUCAGUGCUCCGUGGAAGAAAGGGAAGAACACCUCUGACAGCAAAGUGGUUUUGACAAACAUGAAGGUAAUAAGCAAUGAAAAAAGUGAAGGACUAGGGCAAUGUCCUCCCACCACUUCGGAGUCUCCAGCAAAACCUGGACCUUCUGAAUCUAGCACCCUGUUAGAUAUUCAGGCUACACCACAAACUCCAGAAGAAACUGAACACUUUGCCACAUGCUCUGGCAUGCCCACAAUAGCACUGAAAGAUCAGGUUCCAAGAUUAGACAAAUAUGAAUCAGAAGACUCUGCCGUGGUGUUGCCAGAAGGAGCCAACUUGCCAUCUACACUCCUGGGCUCUGGAAAGAACUUUGUUCUCCACAGCAGAGAUUCUUCUUGUGACUCUGGAGUUCUGAGUGCCUCAUCCUCUCCAGCAGCUGACCAUAUAAAAAUGGGCAAAGACCCUGUAGAAGCACGUCACUACGUUUCAGAUUGCAAGGAGCCAGCGGAGCUCUGCACGGGGCACUUUGGUGCAUUACAGAUGUCCGCCCUUUCCUUAGAUGAGGACACAGAUUGUCGAGAGGCAAAACAUUCUGAACAAUCUUUUUUUGGUGGCAGCCAAGGAGAAUGUUCACAGGACAAAAUCAGUGAAGAAGAGAUCCAUCCUUCUUGCUUUUCUACUUUGCCUGUAGAAGAGAAAAGCCUCCGUGACAAUUACAGAAACAACAGCUUGGAAGAACUGCCACUGCAAGGGCAUCCUUUAAGAAAGCAUUCCACAAGUGACAGCUUAGAUGAAUACAUGGAUGCAUGUUGUAGGCUGAGUAAGGUGAAUGAGGGGAAUACCAAAACCUACAGUUCCGGCCUAGGUUAUCUAGAGCAUAUCUGCCAACUUAUUGAAAAAAUUGGGCAGCUACAAGAACAAAAUCUGAAAUUACAGAAGGAAAUCUGCAGUUUACAAAAAGAGCAGAAAACAAACCAGCUCAAAGAGGAGUAUUUUCUACAGCAUUGCUCAUGCGGUGCUGCCAGCUUUUUGCUCAGCUCUUACCAAGAAGCCAAGAAUUCUUUUCCUGGGUGGAACACCAGACCACACAGCCUAUUGGCUCAGAAUGGAAUCAUAUCUGACCUCUCAGUUAUUCCAGAAACAGGAGGAAACAAUGAAAGAUCAAGCAAAAGUAAGGUUCCUUUUUUUCUGUGCUUUAUGCUUGCUAUGAAAUAA
Pogona vitticeps (central bearded dragon) is the source of this 1248-nucleotide long non-coding RNA. Ensembl lists it as uncharacterized. The record is from Ensembl. Lineage: Eukaryota; Metazoa; Chordata; Lepidosauria; Squamata; Agamidae.